UGGGGAAUAUUGCACAAUGGGCGAAAGCCUGAUGCAGCAACGCCGCGUGAGGGAUGACGGCCUUCGGGUUGUAAACCUCUUUUAGUAGGGAAGAAGCGAAAGUGACGGUACCUGCAGAAAAAGCACCGGCUAACUACGUGCCAGCAGCCGCGGUAAUACGUAGGGUGCAAGCGUUGUCCGGAAUUAUUGGGCGUAAAGAGCUCGUAGGCGGUUUGUCGCGUCUGCUGUGAAAUCCCGAGGCUCAACCUCGGGUCUGCAGUGGGUACGGGCAGACUAGAGUGUGGUAGGGGAGAUUGGAAUUCCUGGUGUAGCGGUGGAAUGCGCAGAUAUCAGGAGGAACACCGAUGGCGAAGGCAGAUCUCUGGGCCAUUACUGAUGCUGAGGAGCGAAAGCAUGGGGAGCGAACA
RNAcentral lists this ribosomal RNA (407 nucleotides) under uncultured bacterium. RNAcentral describes it as "partial 16S ribosomal RNA". It matches the Rfam family "Bacterial small subunit ribosomal RNA", at positions 355 to 774 of the family's 1533-position model. The record is from RNAcentral.